RNAcentral lists this small nuclear RNA (328 nucleotides) under Ursus americanus (American black bear). Its description in RNAcentral is "7SK RNA (ENSUAMG00000017469.1)". It matches the Rfam family "7SK RNA". From Rfam's summary of the family: 7SK was discovered as an abundant small nuclear RNA in the mid-70s but a possible function has only recently been suggested. Two independent studies have found that 7SK RNA binds the CDK9/cyclin T complex (known as elongation factor P-TEFb). Lineage: Eukaryota; Metazoa; Chordata; Mammalia; Carnivora; Ursidae. The record is from Rfam by way of RNAcentral.
GGAUGUGAGGGCAGUCCGGCUGCAACGUGUCCCCCCGCUGAUCACCACGGUUGAUUCGGCUGAUCCGGCUGGCUAGGCGGGUGUCCCCUUCCUCGCCGCUCCAUGCCCUCCUGAAGCUGCAUGCUCAGCGGAAGAGGACAACCUUCCCCCCUCCCACCCACAGAGGAGGACUGUUCUUCGGUCAAGGGAGCACGAGUGGCUGCAGUCCCCUGCUAGAACCUCCAAAUACUCGCUCAAGGUCCAUUGUGGGAGGAUGUAGGGUAGUCAGGCUUCCAAGCCUCCAGACACGGCCAAACGAGGCACUGCAUGUGGCAGGCUGCCUUUCUUA